GGGUAUGGAACGAAUGCUAAAACCGUCACGCCCUGUGACAACGCAUUCGUGACCAACAGCGUGUUGG
Molecule: small RNA, 67 nt
Filed under: Solibacillus silvestris StLB046
Lineage: Bacteria; Bacillati; Bacillota; Bacilli; Caryophanales; Caryophanaceae
Description: Bacillaceae-1 RNA
Rfam family: Bacillaceae-1 RNA
Source: Rfam by way of RNAcentral